GAAAACAUUGUUACCAAAAUAUGGUCUUAAAAGAUCUGACAUAUUCAUAACUAGCAAGCUUGUAAUUGGUGAAGAGAGGACACGUAUUCCUUAAUAGACAAGACGACACUGCUUCUGCCUACAAGAAUGAAGAAGACAUC
Long non-coding RNA from Xenia sp. Carnegie-2017, 140 nucleotides. RefSeq lists it as uncharacterized. Lineage: Eukaryota; Metazoa; Cnidaria; Anthozoa; Malacalcyonacea; Xeniidae. The record is from RefSeq and is a predicted model, not a curated record. The transcript is spliced from 3 exons.